GUUACACUUUACGGCCAAAUGCACAUUUUGUAGUCUUCUAAAGUUAUGUUUGAAAUCUGAAGAAAGAAGGUUUAUAGAAUUAACUUUCAAUUAACCUUUCCUCCAGAGCUCGCUUGUUUUCUUUUCCUUUUGCAGGUUAACAACGAACUUACCAACUUGAAAGCCGAAAUACAGGAUCUUAUGGGCAUCCUGACUCCAUUUGAAAGUAAGAGUCAAUUAAUUAGUGUUGAAAAUGGCCAAUGUUUAAUAUUUAAUAGUUAAUGGCAUACCUAAAGUUAAUGCAAGCGAAAGUGUCAAUCAAACAGCGUGGAGUUGUACAUUUCAAGAAUUUUGUGAUUGUGCUGAAACCGGGCGAGAAUAAAUAUAUUUUUCAAAAUAGCG
This is a non-coding RNA of Paramuricea clavata, 381 nucleotides long. NCBI's taxonomy places the organism in Eukaryota, Metazoa, Cnidaria, Anthozoa, Malacalcyonacea, Plexauridae. The record is from the annotation of a GenBank genome assembly.